GGGGAUUUAGCUUAGUGGUAGAGCGCUUGCCUAGCAAGUGCAAGGCCUUGGGUUCGAUCCCCAGCUCUG
RNAcentral lists this transfer RNA (69 nucleotides) under Rattus norvegicus (Norway rat). It matches the Rfam family "tRNA". From Rfam's summary of the family: Transfer RNA (tRNA) molecules are approximately 80 nucleotides in length. Their secondary structure includes four short double-helical elements and three loops (D, anti-codon, and T loops). The record is from Rfam by way of RNAcentral. Lineage: Eukaryota; Metazoa; Chordata; Mammalia; Rodentia; Muridae.